This 1061-nucleotide long non-coding RNA is filed under the name Physcomitrium patens. RNAcentral's name for it is "long non-coding RNA (PPAT_LNC005691)". Lineage: Eukaryota; Viridiplantae; Streptophyta; Bryopsida; Funariales; Funariaceae. The record is from RNAcentral.
AUUUAUUUAUUCAUGUAUAUCCUUAAAAGAAAAAAGAAGAAAAUCCAUACUCCCUCCUAUCUUGAAAGUAAAUCAAAACCUUAUCCCAUAAACUUGGGUCUCAAUGUUCAAGUAUAAAUUUCUAAGUAAAACCUGAAUUAGAAACCAGCAUUCUGAAUCUAAACCUAACAGAGCAGCUCUGUAACCUAAUGUUGAGGAACAAUGCAUAUAGAUUCAAUCCCUCCAUCUCGAGGGAUUAGGGUUUAGGGUUAUGGCGCUAAUUACCCAAACCCUAAAACUAAUCUUUCCGACCCUUCCAUGUGACUUUGUAGAAAUUCAGCGCGUGACAGUGUUGUACUCCUUGUCAAAGGUCCGCCUUCGUCCUGUGCACGUGCUUGGGGAGUAAACAAACCAAAAGCGCACUUUCCAUCUACUGACCUCGAAUUCGCGAAGCAGCUUGAGGGUUAUGGCGCUCGGUCCAUUCUCUUUUCUCUCUUUUUCUCCCGAUACGCUGAACAGUCUCGUUGGCAACAGAAAAUAGCCGCAUGAGCAACUGCAAUCGAUCCUUCCUACGCUUCUCCACUGUACUCCACUCUACUCACGUCAACGAGUCUGUUGUUUCGUGUUGUGCUUCCCCGUCGUAAACGUACAUUUGUGAACAGAAUGCUGUUUCACUGCCUUCCAGAAGAAUGGCCUGUGCGCCGUGAACUGGUGAUAAAUCUGGUGCGGUAUCGAGUAGAUCCAACAGUUGAAGCACGCGUGAAUUGUCGAUGUGAAGCAUCUACGCGGGCUCUAUCGUGGGCUCUAUCGUGGGCUCUAUCGUGGGCUCGUCGUUGUCGAAAUACGAAUUGGGGGACCCAUUCUUGGAGUGCAACGAUGACGGCAUUAUUCAUUGUGAACUGUGCGUGGUUGGUAUUUGGUGCGACAGAAUUGCGAGCCAUGCGGUAGAACUGCAAGUUCAAGGAUUCCUCCGCGACAUGCUUCUUGCACUCUGUUGUGGAGGCUCGGAAAACAUACCUGUUUAAUGCUUUUUACUAGUAUGCGGUGGAACAAUGUGUUUGUUGAUGAAUAUGUAUUUUAAU